UCCUAUUUGCAUCACUGACAUACUCAUCCUUCCAUCAAACCAAACUUUUGGGGUUGUCUAAGGACACCUCCAUUAUUAAUGAACUUGUACAGCAAUAUGCUUCUACCUCACUGCAUAAGAAGGGAUCUAAAUCUUCUGAAUGUAUUUACUUGUUCUCCACUGACUUGUACGCUCUCCCUCUUGCCUUGUUCGACCUCCCUGCACAAACCCCACAAAGGCAUCACAGAACCCAUGAAUUUAACACAUUACAGAAUCAAUUAAAAGUCAUCACCCGGAUCUUGGACAAAAGAAAAGCAUGUACCUGGCACUCUUCUGGAUUUGGCAACGUGAGGGAUGAACACCCCAGUCCCACUGCCAUUGCUCCACAGCUUCAUAAGCCAGGCUGGUGCUGGACUAGUGCUAAUCUCACUCUCCCCCCACCGGAAAUAGCUUCUGGUUUCUACCGCAGCAGUUAGCACCUUGGCGCUUUGUCUGCUCACUCUAACGGAACUGGGAUGUUGAGUUUCCGGAAAUUCUUCAUCAUCUGUCAAAAGCAAAAUCUGCUUCCUGAGUUCGGUGUAGAAAACAUCGUCAUC
Molecule: long non-coding RNA, 575 nt
Filed under: Vitis vinifera (wine grape)
Lineage: Eukaryota; Viridiplantae; Streptophyta; Magnoliopsida; Vitales; Vitaceae
Description: long non-coding RNA (VVIN_LNC000048)
Source: RNAcentral